GCCUGGUUAGCUCAACGGUAGAGCAGCUGUUUUGUAAACAGCAGGUUGGGGGUUCAAAUCCCUUACCAGGCU
Molecule: transfer RNA, 72 nt
Filed under: Candidatus Cloacimonadota bacterium
Lineage: Bacteria; Pseudomonadati; Candidatus Cloacimonadota
Description: Candidatus Cloacimonetes bacterium (wastewater metagenome) tRNA-Thr
Rfam family: tRNA
About the family: Transfer RNA (tRNA) molecules are approximately 80 nucleotides in length. Their secondary structure includes four short double-helical elements and three loops (D, anti-codon, and T loops).
Source: RNAcentral